This 497-nucleotide ribosomal RNA is filed under the name uncultured bacterium. Its description in RNAcentral is "partial 16S ribosomal RNA". It matches the Rfam family "Bacterial small subunit ribosomal RNA", at positions 28 to 507 of the family's 1533-position model. The record is from RNAcentral.
GAUGAACGCUGGCGGCGUGCCUAAUACAUGCAAGUCGAGCGAACAGACGAGGAGCUUGCUCCUCUGACGUUAGCGGCGGACGGGUGAGUAACACGUGGAUAACCUACCUAUAAGACUGGGAUAACUUCGGGAAACCGGAGCUAAUACCGGAUAAUAUAUUGAACCGCAUGGUUCAAUAGUGAAAGACGGUUUUGCUGUCACUUAUAGAUGGAUCCGCGCCGCAUUAGCUAGUUGGUAAGGUAACGGCUUACCAAGGCAACGAUGCGUAGCCGACCUGAGAGGGUGAUCGGCCACACUGGAACUGAGACACGGUCCAGACUCCUACGGGAGGCAGCAGUAGGGAAUCUUCCGCAAUGAGCGAAAGCCUGACGGAGCAACGCCGCGUGGGUGAUGAAGGUCUUCGGAUCGUAAAACUCUGUUAUUAGGGAAGAACAAAUGUGUAAGUAACUAUGCACGUCUUGACGGUACCUAAUCAGAAAGCCACGGCUAACUACGUG